GGGGGGGGGGGGCGCAGACCUCAGACCCUGCUUUGUGCUAAUCACUGUAAGCACCCUGGUACCUCAAUCCCGAUCUGGGUGGCCCUUACCACUCCCAAAGCCUUGUCACAUGCUCAGUGAUCUCAGCUGGCCCCACACAAACCCUGUCAGGUAAGCAGGUCAGGUGUUGGUGUUAUUCCCACUUUACAGAUGGGGAAACUCUGCUGGAGCGGUUCGAUGACUUGCUCAGGGCCACCCAGGGAGUACAUGUCCCAGUUGCUAGCCCAGUGCUUCUUCCAUAGACCAGGAGGCAAAUGGUGUCCCCAUGCCCUCAAUACUGCCCACGAGUACCUUACAGCUUUACAUAACUAGCAACAGGUAUCAGGCAAUGGCUCUUCCCUCUGGGCGCUGGGCCUCGUUUUUAGACACUGGGGAGCCUGACUCCCUAAAACUGCCACCUCUUCCUGUUCAGUCAACCUUCCUCCUCCUGCCUGACGGUUGGAAGUGGAAGGACGUGGACUGGGUGGGGGCGGGCACGGCUUGUGCCCAGGCUGGGCCUCCCCCAAGAGUGGCAAAGCAUGGUUUUUGGGAUCCCAGAGGAGAAGCUGCCCAUUGUGUACUUUUCCGGGUAUGGAGAAAGAAAGAGGAGACAGCAGAGCUGACUUGAAUGCCUGGCUCAAUUCACCGGCGACAGCCCUCCCAGCCUGCCCUGUGGGGGUCCUCAGAGCUGGUCCCUAUUUCGCAAAGUUGGCUCAAGCAGCCUCAGGAAUGGGUGUGUGACUUCAGAGCAGAGCAGAGAAGGACACCACCCUCUUCUGGGGCCACAGGUCAGUAGGGCAGGAGUUAAUGCUCCUCAGGUCAGGGGCCUCCAUGGGAGGCGGCAGAGCUCCUUUUUGGUGGGGCUCCAAGACCAACAGAGCCCAUACCACCCAAAGGCAUUCACUACAGAUCUGACUGAGCCCAGGAACCAGAACUCUGGGGGCGACACCUGCAGGGUGGGGCGUGUGGGGCAGGGCAGGGAGGGCCAGCCCCAUCCACAGCCCACUCCUGGAAUGCCCAGAUGCAGGAUGAUCUUUCAGCUGUGGUUUCCCCUCACCAAACCAUUCCUUUGUCCCCCUCCUCAGCCCUCGUGGGAUUUGCCUCAUCCUUGAGGGGCAUGUUGGGAGACACUGUACAGCUAAGAGUUCCACGGGCUCUUCUGCAUUUGGGGUCAGGCCGGAGAGGAGCCAGAAGAAGGUGAGUGGACGUUGUGCAAGCCGUGAAAAGUCAAGCUGCCUCCAGCAAUCUAGGCCAGCGUCCGGUUCCCAUGACACUCUUACUGGCAGCGUUAAUAACUAACCGCGUCCCAGACAGGUGCUGGCGGCCUGGCCUUAGGAGUUCUUGCUCAGGGUUGAAAGUGAGUCACUUCCCUUUUAUAGUUUGCUAGCAGACUGAGUCACCCAGAGGCCGACCCUUUCACACAAGCUGUCAUACCUCGGCGAAGUAACAUUCACGGCCAUACCUUCGACCACCUGUUUUCCAGUGCUCUCACACCUUCCCAACCCCCUGUUCGGAAACAAGACUGGAAGUGGAAAGUUCCAGAACUGAUGAGCCAAAGGACAAAACCGUGGGGAGCAGGCCUGGCCGCCGAGGCCCAGACCCUGGCAUUGGGCGCCUACGGCGGCUCUGGAGCACGUCUCUCAGGACGAACGGCCCACACAGAGAUCAGAUAAAUAUCACCCGGAAAAGAAUCUCAUAUACCUCUUUGGGGAAUCCUUCCUUCCCCACUCCUGCAUGCUCUCGCCAAAAAAAAAAAAAA
This is a long non-coding RNA of Equus caballus (horse), 1777 nucleotides long. RefSeq lists it as uncharacterized. The record is from RefSeq and is a predicted model, not a curated record. NCBI's taxonomy places the organism in Eukaryota, Metazoa, Chordata, Mammalia, Perissodactyla, Equidae.